Molecule: long non-coding RNA, 212 nt
Filed under: Manihot esculenta (cassava)
Lineage: Eukaryota; Viridiplantae; Streptophyta; Magnoliopsida; Malpighiales; Euphorbiaceae
Description: long non-coding RNA (MESC_LNC005971)
Source: RNAcentral
CCCUCUCAACUGACUGAAUCAACGAGGAGUACCUAGAAUGCAGCUUCAUAACAUACCUCUUGGCUUUCUUCGUAUCUGAAUCUAGAGCUUGCCCUGAAAAAGGCAAUAGCUCUAAGAAUUUAUCCGUGAACUCCUCCACACUCAUGUGUUCUGUCUGCCUCAGUUGCUCAAACUCAAUCAUUUUCAGUUCUCUGGAACUGUCUGGAAAAGCC